GUUUAUUGAAGACGGAGAGAGACUGGAAUGAUACAGAGAAGACCAGCACGGCCUCUGCACAAGGAUGAUGUGCAAAUUCAUGAAGCGUUCCAUAUUAAA
RNAcentral lists this small nuclear RNA (99 nucleotides) under Lynx canadensis (Canada lynx). Lineage: Eukaryota; Metazoa; Chordata; Mammalia; Carnivora; Felidae. RNAcentral also lists the same sequence under 1 other name. The record is from RNAcentral.